This is a long non-coding RNA of Passer domesticus (house sparrow), 449 nucleotides long. RefSeq lists it as uncharacterized. NCBI's taxonomy places the organism in Eukaryota, Metazoa, Chordata, Aves, Passeriformes, Passeridae. The transcript has 2 exons. The record is from RefSeq and is a predicted model, not a curated record.
UUGCCGAAUCGAGGUUAACGGAACGGAACCGAACGGAACGGCGUUCAGCCGAACCGAACUAAACAAGCCGAACCGAACUAAACAAGCCGAACCGAACUAAACAAGCCGAACCAACGCGAGAUCGGCCGAACCAAAGUGAACUUUACGAGGGUCCGGAACUCAUCAAAAGGAGUGAGAAAAUGCUGUGGGCAGAAGGAGCUGCAUGGGUUCAUGUCCGCGCUGGACAAGUGACACAAACAGCACGGGGAGCAUUUACAGCAAACCAAGUGGCAAAAAGCCACAUUUGGUUCAGAGGGAGGCUGAAUCCCUGCGAGGAAUUCCACCGAAACAAUAAGCCAAGUGAUGGAAAUUCAGGGUUUGGCUGUGGCCACCAUCUUCUGGUGUGAAAUGUUACUGUAUUGUCCCAAACAGUCACAGAACAAAACAAAGAAAGGCAUUUUAAAUCCUAA